Molecule: ribosomal RNA, 1026 nt
Filed under: Triticum aestivum (bread wheat)
Lineage: Eukaryota; Viridiplantae; Streptophyta; Magnoliopsida; Poales; Poaceae
Description: partial small subunit ribosomal RNA
Source: RNAcentral
CUCCUUCACAAAAGGGGGUUUGGCAAAAAGUGGAUCGGCUGGAUCAACAAGAUCACCCGUGGGGGAUCCGUAGUGGUCAAGCUUAAUAACCUUGAGAGUAAUUACUUCCUCACGGGAAAAGGGUUGCGCCAAGGUGAUCCCGCGUCCCCCUUACUCUUCAAUUUAGUGAUAGACGUUCUCACUAAAAUGCUGAUUAAAGCCUCAGAUGAGGGGCUGAUUAGAGGUCUGUGCUACGAUAGUUACCCUGGAGGUCUGAUUAGCCUCUAGUAAGCAGAUGAUACGAUCAUGUUUGCUGACAGCGAUCCGUGCAUGGCUGCUAACUUGAAGUGGGUCUUGACUUGCUUCGAGCAAGUCUCUGGGAUGCAAAUUAACUUUGAUAAAAGUGAAUUGAUCCCCAUAAACAUCACUGUAGAGGAAACAGCCAACCUAGCUGAGAUUUUUGGCUGCCCAAUAGGUAAAUUCCCUAUCAAGUACCUAGGGGUACCUCUGCAUGUGGAUAAGCUUUCGAGGGAGGAUGUCCAACCUUUGCUGGAUAAAAUCCUCAAGAGGAUUGCCGGGUGGAGAGGAAAACUCCUUUCCUACAAGGGGAGGGUGAUUUUGAUUAAAACCUGCCUGUCCAGCAUUCCUAUUUACCUGCUCUCCUUUUUUAAAUUCCCCAAAUGGGCUUUAGAUCUCAUCAACUCCCAGAUGGCUAAUUGCCUCUGGAAUGACUAUGAAGGGCAUAGGAAAAUCCACUUGGCAAACUGGCAACUUGUGUGCAUGAAACAGGAGUUUGGGGGUUUGGGAAUCCCAAAUCUCCAUGACCUGAAUAUUUGCUUGUUAGGCUCCUGGGUUAAGAGAUAUAUGGCCGGAGAGGGGAAAAUUUGGAAACUCAUUGAUUACAAAUAUCUUAGCAACGCCCCUAACAUAUUUUGUGGUGAUUCUGUCGGGGGCUCACAAUUCUGGAAGGGUGUCGUUUGGGCUGCAAAAGCAGUUAAAAUGGGAUCCAGGUGGGUGGUGGGGAAUGGAGAGCAAAUCAGGUUCUAG